RNAcentral lists this ribosomal RNA (581 nucleotides) under Staphylococcus sp. Its description in RNAcentral is "bacterial SSU rRNA". It matches the Rfam family "Bacterial small subunit ribosomal RNA", at positions 348 to 922 of the family's 1533-position model. Lineage: Bacteria; Bacillati; Bacillota; Bacilli; Caryophanales; Staphylococcaceae. The record is from RNAcentral.
GCAGCAGUAGGGAUCUUCCGCAUGGACGAAAGUCUGACGGAGCAACGCCGCGUGAGUGAUGAAGGUUUUCGGAUCGUAAAACUCUGUUAUUAGGGAAGAACAAAUGUGUAAGUAACUGUGCACAUCUUGACGGUACCUAAUCAGAAAGCCACGGCUAACUACGUGCCAGCAGCCGCGGUAAUACGUAGGUGGCAAGCGUUAUCCGGAAUUAUUGGGCGUAAAGCGCGCGUAGGCGGUUUCUUAAGUCUGAUGUGAAAGCCCACGGCUCAACCGUGGAGGGUCAUUGGAAACUGGGAAACUUGAGUACAGAAGAGGAAAGUGGAAUUCCAUGUGUAGCGGUGAAAUGCGCAGAGAUAUGGAGGAACACCAGUGGCGAAGGCGACUUUCUGGUCUGUAACUGACGCUGAUGUGCGAAAGCGUGGGGAUCAAACAGGAUUAGAUACCCUGGUAGUCCACGCCGUAAACGAUGAGUGCUAAGUGUUAGGGGGUUUCCGCCCCUUAGUGCUGCAGCUAACGCAUUAAGCACUCCGCCUGGGGAGUACGACCGCAAGGUUGAAACUCAAAGGAAUUGACGGGGCCCC